GCUUGUCUCAAAGAUUAAGCCAUGCAUGUCUAAGUACAAGCCUCAGUAAGGUGAAACCGCGAAUGGCUCAUUAAAUCACACCUAAUCUACUGGAAAGUUACUAGUUACUUGGAUAACUGAGGUAAUUCUUGAGCUAAUACAUGCGAAAAAUCUCGACUCACGGAGAGAUGCUUUUAUUAGAUCAAAACCAAACGGCUUCGGCCGUCUCAUUGGUGACUCUGAAUAACUUUGCGAAUCGCAUGGCCUUGUGCCGGCGAUGAAUCAUUCAAAUUUCUGCCCUAUCAACUGUCGACUGUGAUAUAGACGCUCACAGUGGUUUUGACGGGUAACGGGGAAUCAGGGUUCGAUUCCGGAGAGGGAGCCUUAAAAACGGCUACCACAUCCAAGGAAGGCAGCAGG
This 399-nucleotide ribosomal RNA is filed under the name Crustacea environmental sample. RNAcentral describes it as "partial small subunit ribosomal RNA". It matches the Rfam family "Eukaryotic small subunit ribosomal RNA", at positions 30 to 432 of the family's 1831-position model. Lineage: Eukaryota; Metazoa; Arthropoda. The record is from RNAcentral.